RNAcentral lists this ribosomal RNA (262 nucleotides) under uncultured bacterium. Its description in RNAcentral is "partial 16S ribosomal RNA". It matches the Rfam family "Bacterial small subunit ribosomal RNA", at positions 510 to 771 of the family's 1533-position model. The record is from RNAcentral.
AGCAGCCGCGGUAAUACGAAGGGUGCAAGCGUUACUCGGAGUUACUGGGCGUAAAGCGCAUGCAGGCGGCUCAUUACGCAUGGCGUGAAAGCCCCCGGCUUAACCGGGGAGGGUCGUCGUGAACGGGUGAGCUUGAGGAUAUCAGGGGCUGGUGGAAUUCCCGGUGUAGUGGUGAAAUGCGUAGAUAUCGGGAGGAACACCUGUGGCGAAGGCGGCCAGCUGGGAUAUACCUGACGCUGAGAUGCGAAGGCGUGGGGAGCGA